UUUCAUUUUAAUUUUACGCAUGACUGUUUAGAUACAUUUUCGUUUAUUACCGUUUAAUGUACUUUUUCGUUUAUAACUGCUUCUAUUUUUAAAAUUCUAUUUUUUUAAUUUAUUUAUUUCAAUUCUAUUUAUUAUGUUUUGUGUGUUUCAUAACCAUAUAUUAUGUUGUUUUGUUUAUUAUCACUUUUAACUUGAAAUAUUGCAUCUUUAUCUUAUGUCUUUUUAAGUCUAAAUAUUUUUAUCAUUUCACUUAUAAUUGUUGUUUUUUAAAUUUUUU
This 277-nucleotide long non-coding RNA is filed under the name Brassica rapa (field mustard). RNAcentral's name for it is "long non-coding RNA (BRAP_LNC006689)". The record is from RNAcentral. Lineage: Eukaryota; Viridiplantae; Streptophyta; Magnoliopsida; Brassicales; Brassicaceae.